GGCGCGUUCGUCUAGUCGGUUAGGACACGGCCCUCUCAAGGCCGGUGCACGGGUUCGAGUCCCGUACGCGCUGCCA
This 76-nucleotide transfer RNA is filed under the name Verrucomicrobiota bacterium. RNAcentral describes it as "Verrucomicrobia bacterium (rhizosphere metagenome) tRNA-Glu". It matches the Rfam family "tRNA". Rfam says of the family: Transfer RNA (tRNA) molecules are approximately 80 nucleotides in length. Their secondary structure includes four short double-helical elements and three loops (D, anti-codon, and T loops). RNAcentral also lists the same sequence under 2 other names. The record is from RNAcentral. Lineage: Bacteria; Pseudomonadati; Verrucomicrobiota.